This 333-nucleotide long non-coding RNA is filed under the name Mustela putorius furo (domestic ferret). Its description in RNAcentral is "lncRNA (ENSMPUG00000031209.1)". Lineage: Eukaryota; Metazoa; Chordata; Mammalia; Carnivora; Mustelidae. The record is from RNAcentral.
AUUCUUUUUUUUCUUUUUUAACAGCAGCAAAAACAUUUUAAUACCUGAGAAUAAAUCAAACAAAGGCACUGAAAAUUAACAAAACAAUCAUGAAGGACCUGAAAGAAUCCUCGAACCAAUGGAAAAAAUACAUCUAUGUUCAUCCAUGGAUAAAAAUCAGUAUUAUAAAAGGCCCAAAGAAUACAUCCUUCAACAUGGGAUUGAGAAGGCAUUGAUGAAAGGCAAAGGGAACCUGAAAGCAAAGUCUUAUGUCUACGACAAUGACUUAUCUGCAUGAACUUGUAUCUUCAAUACCACCAAGGUAAUGUUUUCCAGCAGUUUCACUACCUUGUG